UACGGGGGGGGCAAGCGUUGUUCGGAAUUACUGGGCGUAAAGGGCUCGUAGGCGGCCAACUAAGUCAGACGUGAAAUCCCUCGGCUUAACCGGGGAACUGCAUCUGAUACUGGAUGGCCUGAGUUCGGGAGAGGGAUGCGGAAUUCCAGGUGUAGCGGUGAAAUGCGUAGAUAUCUGGAGGAACACCGGUGGCGAAGGCGGCAUCCUGGACCGACACUGACGCUGAGGAGCGAAAGCGUGGGGAGCAAACAGG
This 253-nucleotide ribosomal RNA is filed under the name uncultured bacterium. Its description in RNAcentral is "partial 16S ribosomal RNA". It matches the Rfam family "Bacterial small subunit ribosomal RNA", at positions 524 to 776 of the family's 1533-position model. The record is from RNAcentral.